CAAAUUAUUCUUAAGAAGAUUAUUUUAUUUACAAUAAAAUUUAUAAUCGUGCAAUUCGAUUUAAUUUGA
Molecule: transfer RNA, 69 nt
Filed under: Corynis sp.
Lineage: Eukaryota; Metazoa; Arthropoda; Insecta; Hymenoptera; Cimbicidae
Description: tRNA-Val
Source: RNAcentral